AAGUUUAGGUUAAUGCACCAAACCAAGGGCCUUCAAAGCCUUAAACAGGGGCUUAUCUCCCUAACUUCU
RNAcentral lists this transfer RNA (69 nucleotides) under Pseudogekko compresicorpus (Philippine false gecko). Its description in RNAcentral is "tRNA-Trp". Lineage: Eukaryota; Metazoa; Chordata; Lepidosauria; Squamata; Gekkonidae. The record is from RNAcentral.